Molecule: long non-coding RNA, 660 nt
Organism: Glycine soja
Lineage: Eukaryota; Viridiplantae; Streptophyta; Magnoliopsida; Fabales; Fabaceae
Exons: 2
Source: RefSeq, a predicted model, not a curated record
UAGUAGAUUCCAGCAUCUGUUCCAAAUCAUUUCUUGUGGAGAUUCACCACCAUGGUAAGGCAAGUGGUAAGUGGAUCAAUGUUCCUGAAUUCGAGGUCAGGACUGCCUCCUAGAAUUUAGAAGAAGAAGAGGAAAUUUGCUCAGGGACGAAGAUUCGCUAGACAGAUUUGAAGAAUGCAGGCAAUAUUCAAGAAGGAUCUAAGGCACAUGGCCCAGCUACGUGGCACUAACGGCCGGAAAUACAAAAGAAGGGAAUUCUACUAUGGUGAGUUUCCUUUUGUGACCCCCAGUUUUCUGAAAGCUUCUGAAGGAUUCUAAUGGAUGAACUCCUCCCAUCCUGAGGGUCUCUUGGAGAUUCUUCUGGGUCUAGGUUCGUUGUUAUCAGCAAGCCUCGUCGUAUGUGCGGUGGCAUGUAUAAACUCGAUAUAAGCACUUAUAGAUCUGACCUCCAUCUUAACGUAAAGGUUAUAAAGUGUUAUUCUUAGCUUCACUUUGGAAAUUAGCUAAUGUCUAUGUUAGAGUGGUUCAUUUUUUUUUCUUUCUUUCUUUUGACAUUCAAAGAGACUGGUGGACUUUGCUCAGUUCAUGUGCAUUUACCCUUUUUUGGUUUGGGUUCUGUGUUCUUUGACAUCUUUUAAGGUAUCUUAUUUGGUGUUCUUA